Molecule: ribosomal RNA, 301 nt
Filed under: uncultured bacterium
Lineage: Bacteria
Description: partial 16S ribosomal RNA
Rfam family: Bacterial small subunit ribosomal RNA
Source: RNAcentral
CAGCAGCCGCGGUAAUACGAAGGUCCCGAGCGUUGUUCGGAAUCACUGGGCGUAAAGGGAGCGUAGGCGGCGUGGUAAGUCAGAUGUGAAAUCCCGGGGCUCAACCCCGGAACUGCAUCCGAUACUGCCAUGCUAGAGGAUUGGAGAGGUAGCUGGAAUUCUUGGUGUAGCAGUGAAAUGCGUGGAGAUCAAGAGGAACACUCGUGGCGAAAGCGAGCUACUGGACAAUAACUGACGCUGAGGCUCGAAGGCCAGGGUAGCGAAAGGGAUUAGAGACCCGUGUAGUCCCUGUCUCUUAUAC